This is a long non-coding RNA of Esox lucius (northern pike), 601 nucleotides long. The record is from Ensembl. NCBI's taxonomy places the organism in Eukaryota, Metazoa, Chordata, Actinopteri, Esociformes, Esocidae.
AGAGUAUUCUCCCAGAGAUUUGGCACACAUGAACUCAUUUGUAGUCCUAGAGGAAUGACUCUCCACAAAACUGUGGCGUAUCUGAUGAGAACUGAUAGGAGAGCAAAAAGUGAAUUUAAAAGGCUUACUGUAAAAUGGGAAUAGACGCACUGAAAGGCAGCCUUGGCUGAGGGAGGCUGUCGAGUGCAGAGACUCAGCGGAGGUUCAGAGAGAGAUUGCGUGCUGACCCUGAGAAGUACCUGGCCUACAAGGAGAAGGAACGACGCAGGAAUCAGCAGAGAAAGGUGUCGAUAUCAGAUCUACCUGAAGAGACCCGCAGACUAAAGAGGGAGGCCUGGAGAGAAGCAUCCAGACGCUGUCGUGCCCGUAAAAUGUCCUCCCUCCAGAUGAACCCCGCCCAGCCCUGCCACCUCCCCCCCGAAGUAACUGGGGGAACUCUGGGAUGCCGUAGGGGCAGGCAGUAGGGUGGCCAUAGAUCAUAUCUGUUAUUUCCUUUGUUGGUUAAAUGGAUAACUUUGGUAUUAAAUUGGAAUGAACCAAUUACUCAGUGAAUUGGUUGAGGUGAACUGUAAUGGAACUGUCAGUAAAAAUAUUUCAGGGG